UUCAACCAGUCGGACCGGUUCAACCGUUAUUGAACCGUUUACAUUGAACCGUUCAUAUAAUUUUAUUAUAAUAACAAAAUAGAAUGAAUUUUUUUUUUCUCUAUAACAAACUAACAAAACACAACUUAAGAAAGUAAUAAAUAAAUAAAUAUUAAAUAAAAUAAAAAGAAUAAUACUUAGCUCAACAAUAAGCCCAAUUUAUUAGUGAAAAAAGAACAUACUUAACCCAAGCCCAUUUACUAAACCCUAAAUAUAAAUAUCUAAUCUAGUCUUAGUAUAUAUACAAUACAAACAAUAUGCAAAUGUAAUCAGCCGUCACUUCAUCUUUCUCUUCUCACGUGAGUUUUUUUUUUUUCUUUCUUAUUUUUUAUUG
This 373-nucleotide long non-coding RNA is filed under the name Trifolium pratense (red clover). Its description in RNAcentral is "long non-coding RNA (TPRA_LNC009961)". Lineage: Eukaryota; Viridiplantae; Streptophyta; Magnoliopsida; Fabales; Fabaceae. The record is from RNAcentral.